RNAcentral lists this transfer RNA (67 nucleotides) under Broussonetia papyrifera (paper mulberry). RNAcentral describes it as "tRNA-Val". It matches the Rfam family "tRNA". From Rfam's summary of the family: Transfer RNA (tRNA) molecules are approximately 80 nucleotides in length. The record is from RNAcentral. Lineage: Eukaryota; Viridiplantae; Streptophyta; Magnoliopsida; Rosales; Moraceae.
AGGGCUAUAGCUCAGUUAGGUAGAGCACCUCGUUUACACCUACGGUUCGAGUCCGUAUAGCCCUACC